This 429-nucleotide ribosomal RNA is filed under the name Bacteroidota bacterium. RNAcentral's name for it is "Bacteroidetes bacterium partial 16S ribosomal RNA". It matches the Rfam family "Bacterial small subunit ribosomal RNA", at positions 355 to 776 of the family's 1533-position model. Lineage: Bacteria; Pseudomonadati; Bacteroidota. The record is from RNAcentral.
UAGGGAAUCUUCGGCAAUGGGGGGAACCCUGACCGAGCAACGCCGCGCGAGUGAAGAAGGUUUUCGGAUCGUAAAGCCCUGUUGUUAAGGAAGAACGAGUGUGAGAAUGGAAAGUUCAUGCUGUGACGGUACUUAACCAGAAAGGGACGGCUAACUACGUGCCAGCAGCCGCGGUAAUACGUAGGUCCCGAGCGUUGUCCGGAUUUAUUGGGCGUAAAGCGAGCGCAGGCGGUUAGAAAAGUCUGAAGUGAAAGGCAGUGGCUCAACCAAUGUGGGCUUUGGAAACUGUUAAACUUGAGUGCAGAAGGGAGGAGUGGAAUUCCAUGUGGAGCGGAGAAGUGCGGAGAUAUAUGGAGGAACACCGGUGGCGAGAGCGGCUCUCUGGUCUGUAUCUGACGCGGGGGCUCGAAAGCGUGGGGAGCAAACAGG